CAAGUCUGGAAGUGUUACAGGAUGGAAGAGUGAGCCUACAGUUGAAAAACACUGAAAGUGCAUUACCAUUAAGGUAUGAGGUAAAGUAAUAGAGUAUGCAAAUUGUCUAAUGAGUAGUACCAUCUUGUGUGAAUGAAUCCUGUGUAACAGCAAUCCUUUAUAGUUCUGUCACAGCUAGAAGCCUCAAAUAAUUCUGCUUCUCUGUCUAAAGAACAACUUGUCCUUUACGUUCAGAGUGUUGGGGAAACUGGGUACUUAAAUGGCCCUAAAGAUGUUUUAAUUUUGCUGCCAUUGCAGAGAUGAACAUCAUACAUGGACUCUUUAGGAAAGGAUUUUCAGCAUACUGGGAACACAACUAUCAACAAUGCAACAUUCUAGGGGUGCUAUUUUAUCAUUCAAGAGCCUUAUACAAUGAUUUUCAUCUGCAAUUUGGAUGGCCUUUCCCAAGCUUCUGCCAGAAGUUGAAUCUAUAAGACAUUGUAGGUUAAUAGUAACAUUGGAUCUGAAAAAAUUCUUGGUUGGGGCAAGACACUGAAUAAAUUGUAAUGAUUGGAUGGAUGACAUGAUAUUUCUAUACUUCAUUCGGAUUCCCGAGACGGUAUUUUAUAUUAAAAAAAUUGAAGUGCAUAUCUGGGCUCCCUUCCUUUCCGUAGCCCCGUUUCCCCUUGACUCGUAAUAAGCCCGU
Daphnia carinata is the source of this 685-nucleotide long non-coding RNA. RefSeq lists it as uncharacterized. The record is from RefSeq and is a predicted model, not a curated record. The transcript has 3 exons. NCBI's taxonomy places the organism in Eukaryota, Metazoa, Arthropoda, Branchiopoda, Diplostraca, Daphniidae.